GUUAAUUAAAACAUAGAAUAAAUACAUAGGAAGAAUCAUUAUUUAUUCUUCAAUGUAAAAAGUAUAAAAGAUCACCCUUAUUUAAUCAAAUUUAGUACUUUGGUCACCAAAACUAGUGUUAGUGUUUCUCCAUUUUAUUCUUGGUUUUUUGGUUAUAGCUAUUAUUCUCAAUAUUAAUAACAAUUACAUUUGAUCUAUGCUGAAUUAAAUGUUUUAUCUUAUAAUUAAAAAAAAUAACAUGACAACUAUAGAAAAUAAUCAAACUGUGUGAAGCACCUCUUACUAAUUUACAAAAAAAAGAAAAAAAAAGAAGAAAAAAACCAUGUCACCAACUUAAAUACUAUAUAUAUAUACUAU
Molecule: long non-coding RNA, 357 nt
Filed under: Physcomitrium patens
Lineage: Eukaryota; Viridiplantae; Streptophyta; Bryopsida; Funariales; Funariaceae
Description: long non-coding RNA (PPAT_LNC003989)
Source: RNAcentral